Molecule: small RNA, 28 nt
Filed under: Bombyx mori (domestic silkworm)
Lineage: Eukaryota; Metazoa; Arthropoda; Insecta; Lepidoptera; Bombycidae
Description: ovarian small RNA-18581
Source: RNAcentral
UAACACUACUUGUGAGUUACUCGUCCAC